AUACGUAGGGGGCGAGCGUUGUCCGGAAUGACUGGGCGUAAAGGGCGUGUAGGCGGCUGUCUAAGUCUGGAGUGAAAGUCCUGCUUUCAAGGUGGGAAUUGCUUUGGAGACUGGAUGGCUUGAGUGCGGAAGAGGUAAGUGGAAUUCCCAGUGUAGCGGUGAAAUGCGGAGAGAUUGGGAGGAACACCAGUGGCGAAGGCGACGUACAGGGCCGUAACUGAAGCUUAGGCGCGAAAGCGUGGGGAGCGAUCAUGAUUAGAUACACUGGUAGUCCACGCGGUAAACGAUGAAUGCCAGGUGGUGCGGGUAUCGACCCCUGCAGUGCCGGAGUAAACACAAUAAGCAUUCCGCCUGGGGAGUACGGCCGCAAGGUUGAAACUCAAAUGAAUUGAAGGGG
This 397-nucleotide ribosomal RNA is filed under the name uncultured bacterium. Its description in RNAcentral is "partial 16S ribosomal RNA". It matches the Rfam family "Bacterial small subunit ribosomal RNA", at positions 523 to 918 of the family's 1533-position model. The record is from RNAcentral.